Molecule: small nuclear RNA, 77 nt
Filed under: Myotis davidii
Lineage: Eukaryota; Metazoa; Chordata; Mammalia; Chiroptera; Vespertilionidae
Description: U4 spliceosomal RNA
Rfam family: U4 spliceosomal RNA
About the family: U4 small nuclear RNA (U4 snRNA) is a component of the major U2-dependent spliceosome. The structure of U4 snRNA from yeast and human has been reported.
Source: Rfam by way of RNAcentral
AGCAUUGUGCAGUGGCAAUAUCGUAGCCAAUGAGGUUUACCUGAGGCGUGAUUAUUGCUAAUUGGAAAAAAAAAAAA